AUUAAGAUCUUCUAGAGUGUGGUUUUCCCAGGGCGAGGCUUAUCCAUUGCACUCUGGAUAUGCUGACCCCUGCGAUUUCCCCAAAUGCAGGAAACUGGACUGCAUAAUUUGUGGUAGUAGGGUACUGUGUUCGCAUUUUCCCUGG
Molecule: small nuclear RNA, 145 nt
Filed under: Mus spicilegus (steppe mouse)
Lineage: Eukaryota; Metazoa; Chordata; Mammalia; Rodentia; Muridae
Description: U1 spliceosomal RNA (ENSMSIG00000019044.1)
Rfam family: U1 spliceosomal RNA
About the family: U1 is a small nuclear RNA (snRNA) component of the spliceosome (involved in pre-mRNA splicing). Its 5' end forms complementary base pairs with the 5' splice junction, thus defining the 5' donor site of an intron. There are significant differences in sequence and secondary structure between metazoan and yeast U1 snRNAs, the latter being much longer (568 nucleotides as compared to 164 nucleotides in human).
Source: RNAcentral